This 253-nucleotide ribosomal RNA is filed under the name uncultured bacterium. RNAcentral's name for it is "partial 16S ribosomal RNA". It matches the Rfam family "Bacterial small subunit ribosomal RNA", at positions 524 to 776 of the family's 1533-position model. The record is from RNAcentral.
UACAGAGGUCUCAAGCGUUGUUCGGAUUCAUUGGGCGUAAAGGGUGCGUAGGCGGCGCGGUAAGUCGGGUGUGAAAUUUCGAGGCUUAACUUCGAAACUGCAUUCGAUACUGCCGUGCUAGAGGACUGGAGAGGAGACUGGAAUUUACGGUGUAGCGGUGAAAUGCGUAGAUAUCGUAAGGAAGACCAGUGGCGAAGGCGGGGCUCUGGACAGUUCCUGACGCUGAGGCACGAAGGCCAGGGGAGCAAACGGG